UGGGCUGAGGUGAGGUGGAGACUGAGGUGAGGUGGAGACUGAGGUGAGGUGAGGUGGAGACUGAGGUGACAGUGAGAGCAGGUAUAGUUAGAGACAGAUAACAGGCUGAGGUGAGGUGGAGACAGGUGAGGUGAGGUGGAGACUGAGGUGAGGUGAGAUGAGGUGGAGACUGAGGUGACAGUGAGAGCAGGUAUAGUUAGAGACAGAUAGCAGGCUGAGGUGAGGUGGAGACUGAGGUGAGGUGAGAUGAGGUGGAGACUGAGGUGACAGUGAGAGCAGGUAUAGUUAGAGACAGAUAACAGGCUGAGGUGAGGUGGAGACUGAGGUGAGGUGAGAUGAGGUGGAGACUGAGGUGACAGUGAGAGCAGGUAUAGUUAGAGACAGAUAGCAGGCUGAGGUGAUAGAUAUAGAUAGAUAGAUGGUGGUUCCUAACUGUUACGUGGUCGUGUAUACAACAGUACUAGUUAUAAUACAAGGAUCCGAGUUUUUACCCACGGAACACUCUGAUGACUGUUGGGAAGGUGAAAUAUCCAGAAAGAAAGUCCCUAAGUACAUGUAUAUUAAAUGAAUCCUUAAAAUAUUUCAAAUUUUAGAAUUGUUAACCAAAUUAGAUUUAGAGAUUGCAAUAUUAAAGUGUACAUUUUUUUUUGUUUGUUCAUUUGAAGUGAAGAAUGAGGAAACGAGACAUUUUUACACACCUUAUUAUUACAUAGAGUAAGAAAACGUCUUCUUCUCCUCCUGGCUGUUUCUACCCACAACGUUGUAUACAAUUGCUGGUUUUGUAAUGCACUGUAGAGCAAAUGCAGUUCCACUGUUCUUCUUCUUUUUAUAUAUAUAUAGAAAUUUUAUUUCAAUGGUGUAUUCUUUUUGUUUGUUUGAUAAAUACAGUUUUGAU
Oncorhynchus keta (chum salmon) is the source of this 895-nucleotide long non-coding RNA. RefSeq lists it as uncharacterized. The record is from RefSeq and is a predicted model, not a curated record. The transcript has 3 exons. Lineage: Eukaryota; Metazoa; Chordata; Actinopteri; Salmoniformes; Salmonidae.